UAUACCGGUAUGGAGUGCUGGAGCGAAUAGACGUGAGCAUGCAGGCAUGAGUCGCGAGAAUUAAUGUGAGAAUCAUUAACGCCGUAAACCCAAGGUUUCCUACGCGAUGCUCGUCAUCGUAGGGUUAGUCGGGUCCUAAGUCGAGUCCGAAAGGGGUAGACGAUGGCAAAUUGGUUAAUAUUCCAAUACCAACAUUAGUGUGCGAUGGAAGGACGCUUAGGGCUAAGGGGGCUAGCGGAUGGAAGUGCUAGUCUAAGGUCGUAGGAGGUUAUACAGGCAAAUCCGUAUAACAAUACUCCGAGAACUGAAAGGCUUUUUGAAGUCUUCGGAUGGAUAGAAGAACCCCUGAUGCCGUCGAGCCAAGAAAAGUUUCUAAGUUUAGCUAAUGUUGCCCGUACCGUAAACCGACACAGGUGGGUGGGAUGAGUAUUCUAAGGCGCGUGGAAGAACUCUCUUUAAGGAACUCUGCAAAAUAGCACCGUAUCUUCGGUAUAAGGUGUGGUUAGCUUUGUAUUAGGAUUUACUCCGAAAGCAAGGCAACUUACAACAAAGAGUCCCUCCCGACUGUAUACCAAAAACACAGCACUCUUCUAACUCGUAAGAGGAUGUAUAGGGUGUGACCUGCC
This 626-nucleotide ribosomal RNA is filed under the name Salmonella enterica subsp. enterica serovar Schwarzengrund. RNAcentral describes it as "bacterial LSU rRNA". It matches the Rfam family "Bacterial large subunit ribosomal RNA", at positions 1257 to 1863 of the family's 2925-position model. The record is from RNAcentral. Lineage: Bacteria; Pseudomonadati; Pseudomonadota; Gammaproteobacteria; Enterobacterales; Enterobacteriaceae.